Molecule: ribosomal RNA, 330 nt
Filed under: uncultured bacterium
Lineage: Bacteria
Description: bacterial SSU rRNA
Rfam family: Bacterial small subunit ribosomal RNA
Source: RNAcentral
UGUGUAGGCGGCCUGUUAAGUUCCGUGUGAAAUCUCCCGGCUCAACCGGGAGGGUGCGCGGAAAACUGGCGGGCUAGAGUGCGGGAUGGGAGAGUAGAAUUCCUGGUGUAGCGGUGAAAUGCGUAGAUAUCAGGAGGAAUACCGGUGGUGUAGACGGCUCUCUGGACCGUAACUGACGCUGAGACACGAAAGCGUGGGUAGCAAACAGGAUUAGAUACCCUGGUAGUCCACGCCCUAAACGAUGCAUAUUUGGUGUAGGUCAUUCAGUUGAUCUGUGCCGGAGCUAACGCGUUAAAUAUGCCGCCUGGGGAGUACAGUCGCAAGGCUGAA